UUUGUAUUUUAACCUGCCUGGAAAUAGAUUUGAGGCCUGGGAGUGGAAAAGUCAUCUUGUAACCAUAAAGAUGAAGAUCACACAAUGAGAUGGCAGAACAAGAAACCAAGAAAAGCCUAGGUCCUUGUUGAACUCCUAAGGCAUCUUCCGAAGUCGUAAGCAGAUGCUCUCUCUGGAGCUCCUGUUAUAUGAGAAAAAUGGCCUUCUGCUUGGCUAAGCUGGUGUAAUCAGGUUUCUAUGGACAAAGGUAAUCCUAACCAACUCUGUGUGCCAACCGUGGUUUGGGCUAGAGGAAAUGAGGAGCUGUCAAGAUUCCAGAGGGGUAACAAGGGCUGUAGACAAGAAAGCUAUAAUUCUGUAGAGUGGAAGAGUUUGGAAAAUGACCUAGGAAACUCCUGCAGCUGCCAGGCAAUGACUGGGUAAACAGAGGGGCUGCACAUUAGCCUGUGCUCAGGUGCCCAGGAUUGGUCUGGUUGUAGGGCAGGAUCAUGCAGGAAACACACAUCAGGGUGACUUCUGGCUAUGAUAUAAAAGUGCGAUAGGAAGGACAUUCCACACUCUUCCCAACAUCAGCCACUGUUAGAUCCUCAGCCUGUGGGGCCAAUGCUGUUUUCCAAGUGCUCUUCUAGGUCAUGUUGAAGAAAUCUGUACACCAUCUCCUGUGCUUUCUCUUCCAGGGCUCUAACCCGAGCUUCAAGCCCCAUUUGUAUGCAGCUGUCCGUGGGUGUCAGUAGUUGUUUGACUUAGCAGUGCCGAGAGCCCCGGGUUGGGAGUGGAGAGAAAAAAGGGAAGAGCUGCAUUCCAGGCAACAUGUGCCUAGAAGGACCUGCCCUCUCCUGCUCACUUUUAAAAAGGCUCCAUAGUCAAGGAAAGUUUAUUUUGGCAUCAUUUGCAAUUCUGUGCCUGAUGAUCAUAUCUGAAAAUCGGAGAUGGAGGUGCAGAAAGCUGGAAAGAGCCCACGGCCUUCACAGAUGUAUGGAACCACCCUAUAGCCCUCAAUUGCCUCUCUCUGAACUUCUUUCUUGUGAGAAAUAAAC
This 1037-nucleotide long non-coding RNA is filed under the name Papio anubis (olive baboon). Its description in RNAcentral is "lncRNA (ENSPANG00000049781.1)". The record is from RNAcentral. Lineage: Eukaryota; Metazoa; Chordata; Mammalia; Primates; Cercopithecidae.